This 386-nucleotide ribosomal RNA is filed under the name uncultured bacterium. Its description in RNAcentral is "bacterial SSU rRNA". It matches the Rfam family "Bacterial small subunit ribosomal RNA", at positions 28 to 400 of the family's 1533-position model. The record is from RNAcentral.
GAUGAACGCUGGCGGCGUGCCUAACACAUGCAAGUCGAGCGUGAUUAAAUGGAUUGGAGAGCUUGCUCAAAGAGAAAUUUAUGAAAGCGGCGGACGGGUGAGUAACGCGUGGGCAACCUGCCCUGUGCAGGGGGAUAGCCACUGCAAACGGUGAUUAAUACCCCAUGGAGCUAUCGAGUCGCAUGACUUGAUGGUGAAAGUUCCGGCGGCACAGGAUGGGCCCGCGUCUGAUUAGCUAGUUGGUGAGGUAACGGCUCACCAAGGCGACGAUCAGUAGCCGACCUGAGAGGGUGAACGGCACACUGGAACUGAGACACGGUCCAGACUCUACGGGAGCAGCAGUGGGAAUAUUGCACAAUGGCGCAAGCCUGAUGCAGCAACGCCGC